This 289-nucleotide small nuclear RNA is filed under the name Melopsittacus undulatus (budgerigar). Its description in RNAcentral is "7SK RNA". It matches the Rfam family "7SK RNA". From Rfam's summary of the family: 7SK was discovered as an abundant small nuclear RNA in the mid-70s but a possible function has only recently been suggested. Two independent studies have found that 7SK RNA binds the CDK9/cyclin T complex (known as elongation factor P-TEFb). Lineage: Eukaryota; Metazoa; Chordata; Aves; Psittaciformes; Psittaculidae. The record is from Rfam by way of RNAcentral.
GGAUGUGAGGGCAAUCUGGCUGCAAUGGUCACUCUGUUUAUAGCCAAGGUGGAUUUAUCUGGAAUGGCUGGCUAGGCAGGUGUCUCCCUCCCUCACUGCUCCGUGCAUUCCUUCCAGAGUUGCACACUUGGUCAAAGUGGACAACUUUCCCCGAUAGAGAUGUACUGUUUAUGGGUCAAGAGUAUAUGGUUCUCACCUGCUAGACCCCACAAACAAGCUCAAGGUCCAGUUGUCGGAGAACGUAGGGUAGUUAAGCUUCCAAGACUGUAGACACAUCAAGGUGAAUCAU